RNAcentral lists this ribosomal RNA (516 nucleotides) under uncultured Glomus. RNAcentral describes it as "SSU rRNA". It matches the Rfam family "Eukaryotic small subunit ribosomal RNA", at positions 569 to 1086 of the family's 1831-position model. Lineage: Eukaryota; Fungi; Glomeromycota; Glomeromycetes; Glomerales; Glomeraceae. The record is from RNAcentral.
AGCAGCCGCGGUAAUUCCAGCUCCAAUAGCGUAUAUUAAAGUUGUUGCAGUUAAAAAGCUCGUAGUUGAAUUUCGGGAUCAAUAUGUCGGUCGUGCCUCGGUACGUACUGGCGUCAUUGGUUUCUCCCUUCUGAAGAACCUUGAUGUCAUUAAUUUGGUGUCUUGGGGAAUCAGGACUGUUACUUUGAAAAAAUUAGAGUGUUUAAAGCAGGCUCGCGCUUGAAUACAUUAGCAUGGAAUAAUGAAAUAGGACGUUUGAUUCUAUUUUGUUGGUUUCUAGGAUCGACGUAAUGAUUAAUAGGGAUAGUUGGGGGCAUUAGUAUUCAAUUGUCAGAGGUGAAAUUCUUGGAUUUAUUGAAGACUAACUACUGCGAAAGCAUUUGCCAAGGAUGUUUUCAUUAAUCAAGAACGAAAGUUAGGGGAUCGAAGACGAUCAGAUACCGUCGUAGUCUUAACCAUAAACUAUGCCGACUAGGGAUCGGAUGAUGUUGAUUUUUUUAAUGACUCAUUCGGCCG